RNAcentral lists this long non-coding RNA (795 nucleotides) under Homo sapiens (human). RNAcentral describes it as "non-protein coding lnc-DENND3-8:1". Lineage: Eukaryota; Metazoa; Chordata; Mammalia; Primates; Hominidae. The record is from RNAcentral.
UGGGAGCUGGGCAGGUGCUCAAAGCGGGCAGUGCAGGCUGCCCAGCGUGCCCAGCUCCCAGGAUGCACCAUGUGACCCAGGCCCCCUCCUGCCCUGCUUGCGCUGGCGAGGGGCCGUGGCUGGGAAAUAGCUGUGACCUUCCGCAGCCAGCUUGGCAGCGCUUGGGGCCAAGAGGCCUACGUGCAUGCCGGCUGAGUCCCCUCACCGUGCAGGGCUGGCUAUUUUGGACGUGGCCUCCCGAGGCCAGGUCAGAGCUCUUUCGCUGGGCAGUGGCUAAGCGUGGGCUCUUCCUUUUCUGUGACACAGCAGAGGUGUACAUGCCUGCUGCCCUGUCCAGGGCGUCUGGGUAUGGUGGAAGUGGCCCCAAGGUCCAGCCACCCUCAGGGACCACAAGCUUCCUGGACACCCUGCUGACAGGGUCCCACUGUGGAGGAACAGGCCGGCCCAGCUCCCCACCUCCCAAGUGAGCAUGGGUGGCUGGGUGGGCGUGAGGGAUUGGCUCCCCUGCUAGAGGGCAGGGCUCUUAACGGAAGCUGCUGCUGGCAGGUGUGUUAUAACAGAGCUCUGGGGUGGGAGGCUGGGGGCAGGGAGGGUUAGGGCCGUCAGAACACGGCUCCCUCCUGCCCAGGGCAAGGUGGGGCCACGUGUGCGCAUGUGAGUGGGGCACCUGGUCUGGGUGUGGCCUGGGAACCUGCAUGUUACAGACGCCAUGGCUUUGGAAACACUCAGGAGUCCAGCUGUGUCUGUUCCAAGAUGGGUCAGGGUUGCCGCAGGGAGGGCAGUGACUGGUCCACA